Sorghum bicolor (sorghum) is the source of this 3848-nucleotide RNA transcript. RefSeq lists it as uncharacterized. The transcript is spliced from 8 exons. The record is from RefSeq and is a predicted model, not a curated record. Lineage: Eukaryota; Viridiplantae; Streptophyta; Magnoliopsida; Poales; Poaceae.
CUUUUAAACGCUUCUCAAAAAAUAUAUCAUCUCCUCUCUCUCCCUGCUCUUUGCUCCCUUUCCCUCCCUCCUCACGCGGGCGACAGCGACGGCAGCGGCGACAGACGGUCCUCAGAGCAGCCGCGGCCGCGGCCGUCUUCCUUCCUCCCUCUCCCUGCCCUCUCCCUCUCACCCGACAUGCUAGCGUGCUCCAGCAACACCGGGUGGCCGGAACAGCGGUGCCCUCAGCAUGCCGCGGAGCGCUGCGCAUGCGACCCACCGGUGGCCGUCCCUGGCCACGGAGUGCGCGGCUAGGCCCUACGCUGUAUCCUCCCAUCGAUCUGCGGGCGUUGAUCCGCGGGCGCUUGACAAACCCUAGCUGCCUCUUCCUCGCCGGAGGCGGCGCCAGCCCUCGGCGCUCCGCGUUGGGUGCUGUGCCGGUGGCGCGAGUGGCCGCCCUCGUCGCGGGGGCUCCGAUGGCCGCCCUCCCCGGGCACGACGUGCUCGACCGAGCCCUGCCGGUGGUUGACGGCGCGGCUGCCCCCUUCCGGUACAAUACUCGAAUUAAAAUUUGAGCGCAUCAAAAAGCAAUUCACGAUGCUCCUGUCAAGGUCCUCAAGACCUAGGGUAGGCGGACCGCGGCUACGGAGUUCGUAGCCUCUGUCCGUGGCUGCUGGUCGGGUUAUGCCCCCAGACCAAGAACACGUCGACGGGUUAUGCCCCCCGCCGCCGGCUUAAGAGAAGAGAUAGGAUAGAUUGAUAUUUUCUUUCAUAAUCCUCAAGGUCUGAUUACACCGGCUUAUAUAGCCUUUAGUCCCAACAAACCUUCCUAAACUUUAGGACUAAGAAAGGAAAGCAACCAACUAAUAAAGGGAAACAACCAACUAAAUCUUUUAUUCCCUAUAAUCCUAGCCGCCUAGCCUGUUUCCCUGCUGACCCAGGCACUCAGCGCGUUCUGCUGCGCGACGGACGUCGCGCGCCCUACGGCGACGCGAGUAUGCGCGCCCGUACAUGACAGCUCCAGAUGAGAGUAUGCUAUUUAGCAGAUGAGAACCAAUUCAACUGUAAUUGCUGUUACUGAAAGCUGACCUGCAGAGUGGAUUGGUGACUAUAGUCUGCUCGCUAAACUUAAAAGUGUUACUGUGUGAGAUCAAGGGAAGUAGCUUCCCAAAUUUAUUUGGGUCCUUCAAAAUCCAUCGUUUAUUAGGUGCAUGAUCACAACAUGCCUGCUUAAAAAGAUACGAGAACACUCUCAUUUCAAUUUCAAUGAUGGCUCCAAUUCAAUAAGGUAAUAGCCUGAAUACUUUCAGUUUCGCUGUUGGACAACUGCAGUUACCUAAGAGUUCCCUAAUUGGUAAGUAGCUAAUUUUUAGAAGUGAUUUAUAGGUAUAGAAUGGCAAGGGCAAUAUAGAUGGAGCCAUUGAAAUUUUCAAAAAAAAAGUGAUAUGAAGGAUCAUGUAAUCUCUAGAUUCAUUAAAAAUAGUUUGUACAUGUGAAAAUGUCUAUACGACUAUAUGAAGUGGAGGCAAACAAAUGGAUUACCAUCAGGGAAUUUAGAGAAGACUAAUAUAAAUACCUAAGGGGGAGUAUGUUCUUGCAAUUUUCUUUGAUCGAUUGAAGCUCCAUUGCUGAUAUAUUGUUGCUUACUCAUACUGUUUUAUGCUCCUAUUUCACUUGCCUUUGUGGCACAUGCUGAAAAGACAAAGCAUUUGUGCACCUGUUAGUUUCUAUAGGUCAAAAGCAUACACCAGGCUGAUGUAUACUGCCCCUCCAUGUUACAUGAACAUCCAUGCUAAUCAAAAUGGCAACCUGCAAAAUCAUGCAUAUUCAUUUGAGCUAUAAUAGCUGAAUUUAGUUGUAGGGGUUAACUGUCUGCACCCCUAAUUUCAUAUCCAAGAGUGGUAUUUUUUAGAUUACUUACACUUGACUCAUGGAAUUUUUUCCAAUAUGAUGUCCACUAUGACCUUAACGGCCGCUUUUCGUUUAAACUUACUUCACUUUCUUCCUCCUGAACAUUGGCCGCCUUUUUUCUAAAUGGUUCCAUACAUAUAGUUUGGUCUAAUUUAACAAGGCUAAUUCAUUGGUAUUAUUUUUCUCUUUUACCUGAAAAAAUGGCAGAUAAUGACAAUCCCUAAUGGACUGCACAAUGGGUGGUUCAAAAAGGACUAUAGACGUCUGGAGUUCGACCAGAAACAUGACACACCAUUAGAUGAUGUGGAUGUUGUCUUCCAUAAUUCAGAAGUUAAGCUUCAACGAUUGACAAUUUUUUAUAAGGAAUACUGCAGUGUACAAAUGAAAUUUUUUCUCUCUUGCUUAAAGCAUCUAACUGCACACAAGAUAUAACAUAAGCAACAAGGAUGCACAGCCAUCGUGCAGACAGAAGACAAAAACACACGAAAGUAACAUCCUCGGCCACCUUUGGACUCUUCUCCAAAAAGAUCAAAAACUGAAGAACCCAAACCACAUGCUGAAAGCACUGGACAUGAGGCCUAGUCAACAAAAGAAGGAACAAAGGUCUUCUACUCUUCUGCUGUCGCGCGCGAAGGCGCGCGCCCUCCACUAGUGAAUAAAAAGAGAUGUUCAACACGCGUUACAGGGGACAAGGCACAUAAAUAAAGAGCAAUGUUCAACUUUUUUUUUCUUAGCUCCCUUUUCUCCAUACGGUCACCGGACAGCUCAUUUGUCUCUGACUGUCAUAUCUCCGGACUUGUCCUCGACUGCUGAUCAUCCACACCUGCAUUCAUUGGUACAUGUAUGUGGACAUUUCUAAAACAAUACCCAACUCAUCAUUUGUAGUAUGCUCAUUUGAGUUUAUCUGACGAAUCUCAGCCAUUUAGCAGUGUUUUUCUCUUUCAAUAAAUCAGUGGACAAUCAUAACUUUUCAAACAAGCGAACAGGCUUACACUGACAUCAUAGCCUACACAUGAUUAAGCGUUUGACAAGGUUUCAAAUUCUCUCGUCAUUUCAAAUCCAGUUUUCUUUUUUAGAAAUGUUUCUCUAGUAUAUGAAUCGAAAACACUUCAUGGAACCAUUUGACUAGCUUGCUAUAUUCUUAAAGCUAGAACUAACCAGGUUUGGAGUGUUUCUGUGGACUAGUAUAAAAACGACAAUUGGCUCCAAAUUAUUCUCGAUAAAAUGUUUCACUGUUUAUGAUAUUUGGCAAUGGUCCUAGUGAUUUUAUUAAGAAUAUGAAAUAUUUCUCAUUGCCAAAUUAUGUAUGCGGCGACGCGCAAAACACAAGUGGGUAAAGAACUGGAAGCUUCAGAAAAAAAAAAAGCAGCAACAGCUGGUCAGUGCGUGGAGCAUUUCCCACCUCUGUUUUGCGCUUCCUGAAUAUGGGCUUCAUCGAGUAUACGGGCCAACGCAAGAACCGUGUUAUUUCUUCGUGCCGUCGGAUGCCCAACGGACGUCAUCGGGCAUAGUAUGUUUUUCAGGUGAUGUUGCAGUAGGAUAGGGUUCCGGCGAGCUCUCGGGUUCAGAUCUCGUCAUUGUUGCAAUGGUUCUAUCUAGACGUUGCAGUAGGUUUUAGUCGUUGUUGCAGUUUUGUGUUUUGAGAUGUUGUUUCAGUUGCUUCAGUCUGCAUGUUGUAGUAGUUUGUUUUAUGUUGUUACAACAUUUGUUCGGUGUUGUUGUAGUACUAUGUCCAUGGUGUUUUAGUUGCUCCAUCCAAUGCUUUAAUUUGCACUGUUGUAUUAGUUGUUGCAUGUUGUUGCAACAGUUGGUCGAUGUUGUUGUAAUACUAUGUCUAUGGUGUUUCAGUUGCUCCAUCUAAUGGUUCAACCUAUGCUGUUGUAUUAGUUGUUACAUGUUGUUGCAACAGCCGUUCUUUGUUGUUGUAAUACUAUAUUUAUGGUGUUUCGGUUGCUCCA